UAUCCGGAAUCAUUGGGCGUAAAGCGUCUGUAGGUUGUUUAAUAAGUCUGUUGUUAAAGACUAGGGCUUAACCCUAGAAAAGCAAUGGAAACUACUAGACUUGAGUAUGGCAGGGGUAGAGGGAAUUUCUAGUGUAGCGGUGAAAUGCGUAGAUAUUAGAAAGAACACCAGUGGCGAAAGCGCUCUACUGGACCAUUACUGACACUCAGAGACGAAAGCUAGGGUAGCAAAAGGGAUUAGAUACCCCUGUAGUCCUAGCCGUAAACGAUGGAUACUAGAUGUUGUGUUUAAUAUGCAGUAUCGUAGCUAACGCGUUAAGUAUCCCGCCUGGGGAGUACGCUCGCAAGGGUGAAACUCAAAGGAAUUGACGGGGGCCCGCACAAGCGGUGGAGCAUGUGGUUUAAUUCGAUGCAACGCGAAGAACCUUACCAGGACUUGACAUACUACAAAUUUCUUUGAAAAAAGGAAGUGCCUUCGGGAAUGUAGAUACAGGUGGUGCAUGGCUGUCGUCAGCUCGUGUCGUGAGAUGUUGGGUUAAGUCCCGCAACGAGCGCAACCCUUAUUUUUAGUUACUAAUUAAUUAGGUUUUCUAGAAAGACUGCCGGUGACAAACCGGAGGAAGGUGAGGAUGACGUCAAGUCAGCAUGCCCCUUAUGUCCUGGGCUACACACGUGCUACAAUGGUUAAAACAAAGGGUCGCGAGCUUGUGAGAGUCAGCUAAUCCCAUUAAUUUAGCCUAAGUUCAGAUUGUAGGCUGCAAC
This 761-nucleotide ribosomal RNA is filed under the name uncultured marine haptophyte. Its description in RNAcentral is "bacterial SSU rRNA". It matches the Rfam family "Bacterial small subunit ribosomal RNA", at positions 542 to 1311 of the family's 1533-position model. The record is from RNAcentral. Lineage: Eukaryota; Haptophyta.